Molecule: ribosomal RNA, 495 nt
Filed under: uncultured bacterium
Lineage: Bacteria
Description: partial 16S ribosomal RNA
Rfam family: Bacterial small subunit ribosomal RNA
Source: RNAcentral
ACUCAAAGGAAUUGACGGGGGCCCGCACAAGCGGCGGAGCAUGCGGAUUAAUUCGAUGCAACGCGAAGAACCUUACCUGGGUUUGACAUCACUCAAAAACUCGCAGAGAUGCGGGGUCCUUCGGGGUGGGUGACAGGUGGUGCAUGGCUGUCGUCAGCUCGUGUCGUGAGAUGUUGGGUUAAGUCCCGCAACGAGCGCAACCCUUGUCCCAUGUUGCCAGCAUUCGGUUGGGGACUCAUGGGAGACUGCCGGGGUCAACUCGGAGGAAGGUGGGGAUGACGUCAAGUCAUCAUGCCCCUUAUGUCCAGGGCUUCACGCAUGCUACAAUGGCCGGUACAAACCGUGGCGAGCCCGUGAGGGGGAGCGAAUCGGAAAAAGCCGGUCUCAGUUCGGAUCGGGGUCUGCAACUCGACCCCGUGAAGUCGGAGUCGCUAGUAAUCGCAGAUCAGCAGUGCUGCGGUGAAUACGUUCCCGGGCCUUGUACACACCGCCCGU